UACGUAGGGUGCGAGCGUUGCCCGGAUUUAUUGGGCGUAAAGGGCGCGUAGGCGGCUCGGCACGUCCGUUGUGAAAUCGCUCGGCUCAACUGGGCGAGGUCAGCGGAUACGGUCGAGCUUGAGCCAGCUAGGGGGCAAUGGAAUUCCCGGUGUAGUGGUGGAAUGCGUAGAGAUCCGGAAGAACACCGGUGGCGAAGGCGGCCUGCUGGGCAGUAGCUGACGCUGAUGCGCGACAGCGUGGGGAGCAAACAGG
RNAcentral lists this ribosomal RNA (253 nucleotides) under uncultured bacterium. RNAcentral describes it as "partial 16S ribosomal RNA". It matches the Rfam family "Bacterial small subunit ribosomal RNA", at positions 524 to 776 of the family's 1533-position model. The record is from RNAcentral.